UACGUAGGUGGCAAGCGUUAUCCGGAAUUACUGGGCGUAAAGCGCACGCAGGCGGCCGUUUAAGUUUGACGUGAAAGCUCCUGGCUUAACCGGGAGAGGUCGUUGAAGACUGGACGGCUUGAGACGAGGAGAGGGGUGCGGAAUUCCCGGUGUAGUGGUGGAAUGCGUAGAUAUCGGGAGGAACACCAGUGGCGAAAGCGGCACCCUGGCCUCGGUCUGACGCUCAUGUGCGAAGGCGUGGGGAGCGAACGGGAUUAGAAACCCGAGUAGUCC
Molecule: ribosomal RNA, 273 nt
Filed under: uncultured bacterium
Lineage: Bacteria
Description: partial 16S ribosomal RNA
Rfam family: Bacterial small subunit ribosomal RNA
Source: RNAcentral